AGAGUUGUAAAACUCCCAACCCAUGUGAACAUACCUUUGUUGCCUCGGUGGCCUACCCGGUAGCUACCCUGUAGUUCCUCAAAGUCAGCGGCGGAGCCGUGGUGCCCUCUGAGCUUAGUGAUUACAUCUAGCUUUCGAGUAGCCACGACGCCUGCCGUUAAACACCCCAAUUUUUGAAGUUGACCUCGGAUCAGGUAGGAAUACCCGCUGAACUUAAGCAUAUCAAUAAGCGGAGGAAAAGAAACCAACAGGGAUUGCCCUAGUAACGGCGAGUGAAGCGACAACAGCUCAAAUUUGAAAUCUGGCGCAAGCCCGAGUUGUAAUUUGUAGAGGAUGCUUUUGGUGCGGUGCCUUCCGAGUUCCCUGGAACGGGACGCCUUAGAGGGUGAGAGCCCCGUACGGUUGGACGCCUAGCCUCUGUAAAGCUCCUUCGACGAGUCGAGUAGUUUGGGAAUGCUGCUCAAAAUGGGAGGUAAAUUUCUUCUAAAGCUAAAUACCGGCCAGAGACCGAUAGCGCACAAGUAGAGUGAUCGAAAGAUGAAAAGCACUUUGAAAAGAGGGUUAAAUAGCACGUGAAAUUGUUGAAAGGGAAGCGCUUAUGACCAGACUUUUUCCUAGCGGAUCAUCCGGUGUUCUCACCGGUGCACUUCGCUAGGUUGAGGCCAGCAUCGGUUCCAGUAGAGGGAUAAAGANCGUUGGGAAUGUGGCUCCCCCGGGAGUGUUAUAGCCCAGCGUAUAAUACCUUUAUAGGGACCGAGGUACGCG
RNAcentral lists this ribosomal RNA (765 nucleotides) under uncultured fungus. Its description in RNAcentral is "eukaryotic LSU rRNA". The stretch from base 181 to 765 matches the Rfam family "Eukaryotic large subunit ribosomal RNA", at positions 1 to 598 of the family's 3401-position model. Lineage: Eukaryota; Fungi. The record is from RNAcentral.